UGGGGAAUUUUGCGCAAUGGGCGAAAGCCUGACGCAGCAACGCCGCGUGAGUGAAGAAGGCUUUUGGGUCGUAAAGCUCUUUUCUGAGGGAAGAGACUGACGGUACCUCAGGAAUAAGCACCGGCUAACUCCGUGCCAGCAGCCGCGGUAAUACGGAGGGUGCAAGCGUUGUUCGGAUUUACUGGGCGUAAAGGGCGUGUAGGCGGAAGUGCAAGCUAUGGGUGAAAGUCCCGGGCUCAACCCGGGAAGGUCUUGUAGAACUGCACAUCUAGAGAGGGCAAGAGGCAGGUGGAAUUCCAGGUGUAGAGGUGAAAUUCGUAGAGAUCUGGAGGAACACCGGCGGCGAAGGCGGCCUGCUGAGGCCACUCUGACGCUGAGGCGCGAAAGCGUGGGUAGCAAACAGGAUUAGAUACCCUGGUAGUCCACGCUGUAAACGAUGAGCACUCGAUGUGCGGAGGUUUUGACCCUCCGCGUGUCACAGCUAACGCAUUAAGUGCUCCGCCUGGGGACUACGGUCGCAAGACUA
This 526-nucleotide ribosomal RNA is filed under the name uncultured bacterium. RNAcentral's name for it is "bacterial SSU rRNA". It matches the Rfam family "Bacterial small subunit ribosomal RNA", at positions 355 to 896 of the family's 1533-position model. The record is from RNAcentral.